UUAAUUGUACGCUCGAAGGAUUUUUUAUUAGAUUAAUCAUCUGCCAUUGCUUAUAAAUAAAUAUUGCAAACACACUUUGUCGCCAAGAACUUUUAGCGCAAACAGCAGUGAUAAUUCAUAAAAAUGAGACUUUUAUUUGCAUUUGUGUGUCUUUUAAUGUUAAUAGCAGGUAGAAGAUAAAAUAAAAUAUUAAGGACGACGAUUUUCUUGUAUCUAAUUCUUGCUAUUUAUUUUAGAAAUUCAAGCAAUGGCUUAUGGUGAGUAUUGAAUCACACCAAAUAUAAUUUUUAUAUUCCCUCUUUUCAAUUCCUUUCAGAUCGCAAAAAUCGAUCAGCUUUAGAAAAUAAGGAAAAAAGGCAUGCGUGUGUUGGUUGUGAACCGUAUUGCUCGUGUCCACCGGUUGUGUAUUAAUUAGUGAAUAUUUAUUAAAACAUUGAAGCGACAGAACCAGAAUUUUGGUGUAUUUCAUUCCGAUGCUUUUCUAAGUAACCAAUAAACCGAAAUGGCGCAAAUGACUCUGUUUAUAUGAAUUUGUUAUCGUUUCGAAUUUCACGCAUCAAUGAUCCUUUACUUUACUGCAUCUAAUGAUUUUCAUCAUCGUUCAAUCGUUGUGCAUUUCCUUAUAAAUGAAUCUGAAAAAUUGCAAUUGCAAAUACACUUUAUCGCCAAGGUAUUUUGUAAAAUUCGUAGAGUAAACAUCAAGUGAAAACUGUCUAAAAAUUCAUAAAAAUGAGGAUUCUUUUCGCAAUUGUGUGUCUUUUUAUGCUAAUAGCAGGGAUGCAAGCAAUGGCUGAGGAAGAACACCAAGCUGGCUCGGAGGGUUCAGUCAAUAAUCUCGAAAGGCGUGCGGCGAUUCCUUGUGAUUGUCGUGAUCCAACUUGCCCGUGUCCGACAUUUAAGUAAAUAUUUAUCAAAGCGUGGUUUCUAAAACUUUUUCGAUAAAUUUGCAAAUAAAUUUAAUUAUAAACUGAGUUGCCUUUUAUUCAGAAAACGUUUUGUUGUCUCUGAAAUCGAUGCAAGAUAAUCAGAGUUUUGGAGUAUUCAAUUCCGAUGCUUUUCUAAAUAACCAACAAACCCAAAUGGCACAAAUUCUUGCACAAAUUACUAUAUAUGAAUUUGUUAUCACUUUGAAUUUCACGCUUCAAUAAUCCAUUUGUCAAUAAGACGGCUCAAAUGUAAAGAAACUUUUUUCAGUGCAUUGUAGUGACAAAUAUCAAGAGAAAAAUCAAUUGUGAAUUUAAGAAAAUGAGGAUUUUUUUGGAAUAGCUUUUAUCUUUCUACUAUUGACUGGUAAAAACAAUUUCUUACUUCUUGCCAAGGGAUUUUUUUAUUUCUUUUACUUAUCUAUCUAUUCUAGGAAUUAUAUGUGAAGAUCUAAGUAAGUAAUAUUGCAUUAUAAACAUAUUAAUUCCUAUGGUUUUUUACUCAGUACAAAUUCUAUGUGAGUAACAAGAUAUUUAAAUGCGCAAAUACACUUUUCCUUCCUUUUUAGCACAUAGGAGGACUAGAGAUUUGCUUGGUAAUGCGGUUCGCCCGAAAAGAGCUCCUCAAUGUGAUUGUGGAUUUGUAGAUCCGGACUCGGACCCAGGCUGUUUUUGCCCCAUUUGACUAUGAAUUGGCAAUAAAGCCUAAUAUCGAACAGUACACGGUGUUCAUAUUAAUUUGAUUUAGGACAAUAAAUUUUCACCUGCGUGCUUUUUUGAUUACUACGCAAUAAGUCGUAAACACUUCACGAAUUAAUUUUUCACUUCAAUGAUCAUUAAUUUGAUCAAGCAGUUUUUAAAAUUGUGCAUUUUCCUAUAAAUAAAUUAGUAUGAUUAGCAUAAACGGCAUUUAAACUUUGUUGCCGAAGUUUUGUAGAUCAAACAAUAGCUAAAAUCAAUCUAGAAAUCAUUUAUAGUUGGACGAAAUGAGAUUUAUUUGGGUCCUUUGCAUAUAUUUGAUAAUAGCAGGUAAAACAAACAUAUAUUCAUAUUUUUCUUAAAGUUGACUUCAUUUGUAAUUGCUCAGGUGUUCAAGGAGUAGCUCUAGCGGAGUACAGACCCUAUACACCAACUGGUGACUGUUACAUUUGUGAAGGGGACCCGUACUGUGAGUGUCCGCCGCCGUGGAUGUUAAGUUGACGAGUCCCCGCAGAGCGGGAAAUCCACGGGAAAAUUGCUUUGAGACCAGUGAAAGUAUGUAUUCUAUUUGAAAGCUCAAAUACAAUAAAUUGCUAAAGAACUUUGCGCAGAAAUCUCAAGAUGUAAUUUUAUGUUAUCGUUUUGUAAUUUAUCGCUUUACUGAUUUCUUAUUAGAUUUUUAGAGCUCCAUGAGUUUCUAUAAAUAUGAAUAUCGUAUUCUCACAGUUUUUAUAGGACACAGUUGUUUGUAUAGGAAAAAUGAGGUUUCUUUUUGCAAUCGCGUGUCUUUUUCUGCUACUGACAGGAAUCAUGGCGAGAAUGGAUGACAGCAACAGUGGUUUCCAGCGCUUAAGACGUGAUGCAAAGCCUGAUGACCCUGACUACGACCAUUCGGACGCCUUAAUUCGAAGAUAAUCAUGGUCUCCAUAACGAUGUUCGUAGCUUCUAACUACUCUUGGUUUAUACUGCUUUGCAUACUUAAAGCUCCAAAGCGCCGAAAGCUGAUCUUCAAUAUUUUUUUUUUAGAAAGUAAUGUUUUCAAAUUUCAAAAACCGAUCAUAAUAAAUAUUGAAAUUAUGUUGAAUCUUUUUUGUAUUCGAAUUUCUUCAAAAAUCUUUCUUUUUGGUUUUGGUGAGUUUUAAAUUUCUU
Phlebotomus argentipes is the source of this 2771-nucleotide long non-coding RNA. RefSeq lists it as uncharacterized. Lineage: Eukaryota; Metazoa; Arthropoda; Insecta; Diptera; Psychodidae. The record is from RefSeq and is a predicted model, not a curated record. The transcript is spliced from 5 exons.